CAAUAGCGUAUACUAAAGUUGUUGCGAUUAAAAAGCUCGUAGUUGGAUCUCAGGCAUGGGCGCACGGUCCGCCUCGCGGCGGUCACUGUGUGUGUUGUUUCCCAUCCUACGCUUCCCGGUUAUCAGCCCAUGGUGCUCUUCACUGAGCGUUUUGGGUGGCCGGAACGUUUACUUUGAAGAAAUUAGAGUGUUCAAAGCAGGCACGUCGCCUGAAUAAUGGUGCAUGGAAUAAUGGAAUAGGACCUCGGUUCUAUUUUGCUGGUUUUCGGAACACGAGGUAAUGAUUAAGAGGGACAGACGGGGGCAUCCGUAUUGCGGUGUUAGAGGUGAAAUUCUUGGAUCAUCGCAAGACGAACAACUGCGAAAGCAUUUGCCAAGCAUGUUUUCAUUAG
Molecule: ribosomal RNA, 392 nt
Filed under: uncultured eukaryote
Lineage: Eukaryota
Description: partial 18S ribosomal RNA
Rfam family: Eukaryotic small subunit ribosomal RNA
Source: RNAcentral